This 16-nucleotide transfer RNA is filed under the name Pseudoclitarchus sentus. Its description in RNAcentral is "partial tRNA-Leu". The record is from RNAcentral. Lineage: Eukaryota; Metazoa; Arthropoda; Insecta; Phasmatodea; Phasmatidae.
CUUUUAUUAGAAAUAA